This 125-nucleotide small RNA is filed under the name Marmota monax (woodchuck). The record is from RNAcentral. Lineage: Eukaryota; Metazoa; Chordata; Mammalia; Rodentia; Sciuridae.
GCCGGGUGCUGUGGCACACGCCUGUAAUCCCAGCAGCUCGGGAGGCUGAGGCAGGAGGAUCAAAAGUUCAAAGCCAGCCUCAGCAACAGUGAGGCACUAAGCAGCUCAGUGAGACUCUGUCUCUA